GCCUGCGUGGCUCAAUCGGCUUAGAGCGUGAGACUCUUAAUCUCAAGGUUGCGAGUUCGAGUCUCGCCGUGGGCU
Molecule: non-coding RNA, 75 nt
Organism: Hypomontagnella submonticulosa
Lineage: Eukaryota; Fungi; Ascomycota; Sordariomycetes; Xylariales; Hypoxylaceae
Source: the annotation of a GenBank genome assembly